This 455-nucleotide ribosomal RNA is filed under the name uncultured bacterium. RNAcentral describes it as "bacterial SSU rRNA". It matches the Rfam family "Bacterial small subunit ribosomal RNA", at positions 8 to 453 of the family's 1533-position model. The record is from RNAcentral.
AGAGUUUGAUCCUGGCUCAGAGCGAACGUUAGCGGCAGGCUUAACACAUGCAAGUCGAGCGAGAAAGGGGCUUCGGCUCCGAGUAAAGCGGCGGACGGGUGCGUAACACGUGGAUAAUCUGCCUCGUGGCGGGGGACAACAGUCCGAAAGGACUGCUAAUACCGCAUGUCAGGUCGGAAACUCCGGUUUCUGACGAAAAAGAGGGCGUCCGCAAGGAGCUCUCACCACGAGAUGAGUCCGCGUCCCAUCAGCUAGUUGGCGGUGUAAUGGACCACCAAGGCUUAGACGGGUAGCUGGUCUGAGAGGAUGACCAGCCACACUGGGACUGAGACACGGCCCAGACUCCUACGGGAGGCAGCAGUGGGAAUAUUGGACAAUGGGCGAAAGCCUGAUCCAGCCAUGCCGCGUGAGUGAUGAAGGCCUGGUCGUAAGCUCUGUGGGGAGGGACGGAAAAA